AUUGAACGCUGGCGGAAUGCUCUACACAUGCAAGUCGAACGGCAGCACGGACUUCGGUCUGGUGGCGAGUGGCGAACGGGUGAGUAAUGUAUCGGAACGUGCCCAGACGUGGGGGAUAACGUAGUGAAAAUUACGCUAAUACCGCAUACGAUCUAUGGAUGAAAGCGGGGAUCGCAAGACCUCGCGCGAUUGGAGCGGCCGAUAUCAGAUUAGGUAGUUGGUGGGGUAAAGGCCCACCAAGCCAACGAUCUGUAGCUGGUCUGAGAGGACGACCAGCCACACUGGAACUGAGACACGGUCCAGACUCCUACGGGAGGCAGCAGUGGGGAAUUUUGGACAAUGGGCGAAAGCCUGAUCCAGCCAUUCCGCGUGCAGGAUGAAGGCCCUCGGGUUGUAAACUGCUUUUGUACAGAACGAAAAGGUUUCUACUAAUACUAGGAGCUCAUGACGGUACUGUAAGAAUAAGCACCGGCUAACUACGUGCCAGCCGCCGCCGUAA
Molecule: ribosomal RNA, 499 nt
Filed under: uncultured bacterium
Lineage: Bacteria
Description: partial 16S ribosomal RNA
Rfam family: Bacterial small subunit ribosomal RNA
Source: RNAcentral